UUGUAAUAGGAGGUGGCCAAAUAUUAAGGGAAGCUCUCAAUGCACCUGGAUGUGAUGCUAUCCACAUUACAGAAAUUGAGACAAACAUUGAUUGCGAUACUUUUAUNNNNNNNNNUUCAACCUUGGUACUCAUCCUUUCCCAUGGUGGAAAACAGCAUACGAUAUUCCUUUGCAACAUAUGUUCGAGUGAGGAGUUCUGCAAUUGAAUCCCAU
This 213-nucleotide unclassified non-coding RNA is filed under the name Hevea brasiliensis (rubber tree). The record is from RNAcentral. Lineage: Eukaryota; Viridiplantae; Streptophyta; Magnoliopsida; Malpighiales; Euphorbiaceae.